CCAUGAGCGCCAUGUUGGAGCAACAGGAGCAUGGCAACGAAGCUUCCAUAGGAUGUCUGAAGCUGCUUAGCGCACUGAACGUUAAGCCCACUCCUCACCAGCGGGUGAUAGGAGUCUCAUGUACGUGCAGGGGCACCUCAACAACAAGGUCGUCCACAUAAUGAUUGAUACGGGCGCCACUCACAACUUCAUGACUCCAACCGAGGCGGAACGGUUGGGUCUCAAGGUGACAUACUCCAAGGGUUGGCUCAAGACCGNNNN
RNAcentral lists this long non-coding RNA (261 nucleotides) under Nicotiana benthamiana. RNAcentral describes it as "long non-coding RNA (NBEN_LNC016572)". Lineage: Eukaryota; Viridiplantae; Streptophyta; Magnoliopsida; Solanales; Solanaceae. The record is from RNAcentral.